RNAcentral lists this transfer RNA (73 nucleotides) under Bos taurus (domestic cattle). It matches the Rfam family "tRNA". From Rfam's summary of the family: Transfer RNA (tRNA) molecules are approximately 80 nucleotides in length. Their secondary structure includes four short double-helical elements and three loops (D, anti-codon, and T loops). Further hydrogen bonds mediate the characteristic L-shaped molecular structure. tRNAs have two regions of fundamental functional importance: the anti-codon, which is responsible for specific mRNA codon recognition, and the 3' end, to which the tRNAs corresponding amino acid is attached (by aminoacyl-tRNA synthetases). tRNAs cope with the degeneracy of the genetic code in two manners: having more than one tRNA (with a specific anti-codon) for a particular amino acid; and 'wobble' base-pairing, i.e. permitting non-standard base-pairing at the 3rd anti-codon position. RNAcentral also lists the same sequence under 2 other names. The record is from Rfam by way of RNAcentral. Lineage: Eukaryota; Metazoa; Chordata; Mammalia; Artiodactyla; Bovidae.
UUCCUGGUGGUCCAGUUGUUAAGACUUUGUGCUUCCAAUGCAGAAGGCCUAGGUUUGAUCCCAGGUCAGGAAC